UGCAUAGCAUAGCCGAAUUUCCUAAGGAAAUCGGGGGAACCAUAAAGUUGUCUAAAUGGAUGAACCUGCUGAAAGCAAAGCAGUUCAACAUUAGAUAGCAUGGGGUGAAUUUUAGCGGUGAAGCAUCGUCUUCUUCCGCUGAAUAGGGCUGCCUGUCCAGGCCCGAAUCCGUCAGCUAACCUCGAAGGCGUAUUGGAACAGGACU
Molecule: small RNA, 205 nt
Filed under: Paenibacillus sp.
Lineage: Bacteria; Bacillati; Bacillota; Bacilli; Caryophanales; Paenibacillaceae
Description: c-di-AMP sequence
Rfam family: c-di-AMP riboswitch aptamer (ydaO/yuaA leader)
About the family: This family represents a conserved RNA structure found upstream of the ydaO and yuaA genes in Bacillus subtilis and related genes in other bacteria. The ydaO/yuaA element is thought to act as a genetic "off" switch for the ydaO and yuaA genes in its native state.
Source: RNAcentral